GUUCCGUUAGCUCAGCUGGUAGAGUGUGCGACUUUUACGGAACGCGUCUCCUAAUACCGAAUGCAAUCGCAUGGUCACGGGUUCGAACCCCGUACGGAGCU
Vitrella brassicaformis is the source of this 101-nucleotide transfer RNA. It matches the Rfam family "tRNA". Rfam says of the family: Transfer RNA (tRNA) molecules are approximately 80 nucleotides in length. Lineage: Eukaryota; Vitrellaceae. The record is from Rfam.